Molecule: ribosomal RNA, 497 nt
Filed under: uncultured bacterium
Lineage: Bacteria
Description: partial 16S ribosomal RNA
Rfam family: Bacterial small subunit ribosomal RNA
Source: RNAcentral
GAUGAACGCUGGCGGCGUGCCUAAUACAUGCAAGUCGAGCGAACAGAUGAGGAGCUUGCUCCUCUGACGUUAGCGGCGGACGGGUGAGUAACACGUGGAUAACCUACCUAUAAGACUGGGAUAACUUCGGGAAACCGGAGCUAAUACCGGAUAAUAUAUUGAACCGCAUGGUUCAAUAGUGAAAGACGGUUUUGCUGUCACUUAUAGAUGGAUCCGCGCCGCAUUAGCUAGUUGGUAAGGUAACGGCUUACCAAGGCAACGAUGCGUAGCCGACCUGAGAGGGUGAUCGGCCACACUGGAACGGAGACACGGUCCAGACUCCUACGGGAGGCAGCAGUAGGGAAUCUGCCGCAAUGGGCGAAAGCCUGACGGAGCAACGCCGCGUGAGUGAUGAAGGUCUUCGGAUCGUAAAACUCUGUUAUUAGGGAAGAACAAAUGUGUAAGUAACUAUGCACGUCUUGACGGUACCUAAUCAGAAAGCCACGGCUAACUACGUG